Octopus sinensis (East Asian common octopus) is the source of this 123-nucleotide long non-coding RNA. RefSeq lists it as uncharacterized. The record is from RefSeq and is a predicted model, not a curated record. Lineage: Eukaryota; Metazoa; Mollusca; Cephalopoda; Octopoda; Octopodidae. The transcript is spliced from 3 exons.
CCUCUUGGAAGAACGCCGGAUAAAUGGACAACCUAGAAUGAAUAACCUAGUACUCGAGUUUCGGACUUUCCAGAAUACUUUUGUUAUCGUAAAACUGAAUGAAAGGCUGAAACGCAAAGUCAA